CCUACGGGAGGCAGCAGUGAGGAAUAUUGGUCAAUGGGCGCGAGCCUGAACCAGCCAAGUAGCGUGAAGGAUGACUGCCCUACGGGUUGUAAACUUCUUUUAUAAAGGAAUAAAGUGAGGCACGUGUGCCUUUUUGUAUGUACUUUAUGAAUAAGGAUAGGCUAACUCCGUGCCAGCAGCCGCGGUAAUACGGAGGAUCCGGGCGUUAUCCGGAUUUAUUGGGUUUAAAGGGUGCGUAGGCGGCCUUUUAAGUCAGCGGUGAAAGUCUGUGGCUCAACCAUAGAAUUGCCGUUGAAACUGGGGGGCUUGAGUAUGUUUGAGGCAGGCGGAAUGCGUGGUGUAGCGGUGAAAUGCUUAGAGAUCACGCAGAACCCCGAUGGCGAAGGCAGCCUGCCAAGCCAUGACUGACGCUGAUGCACGAAAGCGUGGGGAUCAAACAGGAUUAGAUACCCUAGUAGUC
RNAcentral lists this ribosomal RNA (460 nucleotides) under uncultured bacterium. RNAcentral's name for it is "partial 16S ribosomal RNA". It matches the Rfam family "Bacterial small subunit ribosomal RNA", at positions 338 to 795 of the family's 1533-position model. The record is from RNAcentral.